This 253-nucleotide ribosomal RNA is filed under the name uncultured bacterium. RNAcentral's name for it is "partial 16S ribosomal RNA". It matches the Rfam family "Bacterial small subunit ribosomal RNA", at positions 524 to 776 of the family's 1533-position model. The record is from RNAcentral.
UACGUAGGGUCCAAGCGUUGUUCGGAUUUACUGGGCGUAAAGGGCGCGUAGGCGGCGCGGUAAGUCACUUGUGAAAUCUCUGAGCUUAACUCAGAACGGCCAAGUGAUACUGCAGUGCUAGAGUGUGGAAGGGGCAAUCGGAAUUCUUGGUGUAGCGGUGAAAUGCGUAGAUAUCGGGAGGAACAUCGAUGGCGAAGGCAACCACCUGGGCCUGAACUGACACUGAGACACGAAAGCGUGGGUAGCAAACAGG